UUAUGAUCCUUAAAUUCAAAGAAUUUGGCGGUAAUUAAGUCUCUUUAGAGGAACCUGUUCUGUAAUUGAUAAUCCACGAUUGAUUUUACUUUAUUUUUAUUUGUAUAUCUCUGUCAGUGAAUGUAUUUUUAGGUUAAUUUUCAUUAUUUUUUUAUAAAUAAAUGGUAGGUCAAGGUGCAGUUUAAUAAAGUAGAAAUGGGUUACAAUAAUUUUUUAUUGAAUUAUUAAUUGGAAUAAAUUAAUUUGAAAUUGGAUUUAAUAGUAAAUUUUAUUAGAUUAUAAAUUUGACUUGAGCUCUUAAUUAU
This 305-nucleotide ribosomal RNA is filed under the name Polychaetophyes serpulidia. Its description in RNAcentral is "partial 12S ribosomal RNA". The record is from RNAcentral. Lineage: Eukaryota; Metazoa; Arthropoda; Insecta; Hemiptera; Machaerotidae.